Molecule: ribosomal RNA, 654 nt
Filed under: Triticum aestivum (bread wheat)
Lineage: Eukaryota; Viridiplantae; Streptophyta; Magnoliopsida; Poales; Poaceae
Description: partial small subunit ribosomal RNA
Source: RNAcentral
AUGUUCACCUUCAAGAAGGAAUCGGGGAAGAGGAAGGCGCUAGAUGAUGGACCGUGGAUGUUUGAUAAGGAUCUAGUUGUCGUCGAGGACUAUGACCUAGGGAAAUGACUCGAGGACUAUGAGUUCAGUGAGAUCCCAGUUUGGGUGCGAGUAUUCAGGCUUCCCUUAGGUAUGAUGAAUGAGGAGGCGGCGGAGGAGAUAGGAUAUCUUAUUGGGCGGUUCAUGGAGGUAGAUGCUGGGGUGGGUGGGAAGGCUAUCGGAAAGUACAUGAGGGUCAAAGUAAGGAUGAACAUUGAGAAGCCGAUUAUGAGGGGUUUUACACUUGAGGAGGAGGAAGAUCAACUGAACCAGAAACAUAAGAAGAAGAUGAACAUUGAUGGGUCUGGAGGAGAAGAAGAGGAGGAUGGUCUAUGGUGUCGGUUUGAAUAUGAAUUCAUGUCUGACUUCUGCUACACCUGUGGUAUCAUUGGACAUGGCGAGAAAGAUUGCUCUAUCAAAUUGGAGAAAGGGGAGAAAGCACAAUUUGGUAACUGGUUGAGAGCUUUGGAAGGCGUAGAACUGGAAGUGAGGAUAGCUGGGGGUGGAAGGGAAAGAACCGAGGAGGGGAGAACAACUAGAGCUAUGGGUUUAAUAGAUCGAGUGGCAGAUCUGUGA